Molecule: long non-coding RNA, 230 nt
Filed under: Gossypium barbadense (sea-island cotton)
Lineage: Eukaryota; Viridiplantae; Streptophyta; Magnoliopsida; Malvales; Malvaceae
Description: long non-coding RNA (GBAR_LNC002533)
Source: RNAcentral
UUCGGUAAGUGUUUCUGUUAAUAUGUUAAUAACUAUAAUGAGCAUGAAACCCUAAAAAGACUGAUCAAAUUACUAAAAUACCUCUUUAAGGUAUAAUUACCGUAAUACCCCUGAAGGGGUAAGUUUACGAUUACGCCCCUCGGGGGUAAAUAACUGUUCUUACGCUAUAAUCUGACUGUCUUUCUUAAGCAUGCCUUGUUAAUUAUAUAUAUUCUGCAUACAUGUCAUAC